UACGUAGGGUGCAAGCGUUGUCCGGAAUUAUUGGGCGUAAAGAGCUCGUAGGCGGUCUGUCGCGUCUGGUGUGAAAAUCCAGGGCUUAACCCUGGACCUGCAUCGGGUACGGUCAGACUAGAGUGCGGUAGGGGAGAUCGGAAUUCCUGGUGUAGCGGUGAAAUGCGCAGAUAUCAGGAGGAACACCGGUGGCGAAGGCGGAUCUCUGGGCCGUAACUGACGCUGAGGAGCGAAAGCAUGGGGAGCGAACAGG
This 253-nucleotide ribosomal RNA is filed under the name uncultured bacterium. RNAcentral describes it as "partial 16S ribosomal RNA". It matches the Rfam family "Bacterial small subunit ribosomal RNA", at positions 524 to 776 of the family's 1533-position model. The record is from RNAcentral.